RNAcentral lists this long non-coding RNA (5649 nucleotides) under Sus scrofa (pig). RNAcentral describes it as "lncRNA (ENSSSCG00025051789.1)". Lineage: Eukaryota; Metazoa; Chordata; Mammalia; Artiodactyla; Suidae. The record is from RNAcentral.
UCAAAAGAUGACACCAACCAGUCCAUCACUGAUGCAAGCCUAAUGGGUCGAGAGAGGUGCAUUCAGCUAGUAUGAUAAUCUCCCAGCCAUUUUUGUACUUUGAAUAGGAUUAGAAUGUGUAUCAGUCAUAUGGAAGCCUUCACAAAAUGUACCAACAGAUUUAAGUGAUAGUAAACAGACGAUUGGGGUACCAAAUUCUGAGGUCUCUAUGCUGCUUUGAGGGGCCCACUUCCUAGUCUUGAUGCCAUCUUUAGGAACUGGUUUGCUGUGAGAUUUGCUCGGCUUAAGGAUUUACGUACAGUUUAAUGGCAUCAGCUACAUUGUAUUUUGCCUGUUUUACAAGGUGAUGGUUUCUUGUAUUGUUAAAUGUGUAACUGAGCCUCCAACAAAAGAGUAACCCUGGCUAUGGGAAGAUGCAACAAGAGGGAGUAUUUUCCUGGACCAUAACAGACUAGGAAGACAGACGUUUCAGAGACUUUGAGCUACUGUUAAUAACGCCUAGUCCACUAAAAGCCUGUCUGUGAAAUCGUUGCCAGACGUGGGAGUGCGCAUUCCUAGCACCUUGGGGACGAAAUGGUCAUGAACUGCCUCUCAGAGCUCUGGUCGAAUUUAUGACCCCGGGGGAGCCCUGUGAGCUGAAGUUUGGCACCUGCCGUCAGCCUCUUACAUGGAGUAAAACAGGAGCCACUGCAGCUUCGGACCCGUAGCUCCCCCUGAGCAGAGCUCCAGGUGGGACCAGGAGUGGGGAAUCCGAGCUCUAGGAAAAGUGGAAGAACAGGCCUUCAGAGACUCAGAUAUUAUUAGGAGAUGAUUUUAUGUGCCCCAUUCUUGCAUCUCCUAUCUGGAAAAACCCUGAAAUCCUUCAUGGUGAUGUCUGCUCCUUGGGACUGGCAGUGACCUUCAGGAGAUCAGCCACAAACUUCUGUAGAAUGUGUGUGUGCUGCAGGCCCCUCCCCCUCCGCUUGAUCACAUCCUGCUGUUCCCCCUUUUCCUCCCUGGGUGGUAUUUCCGCAGGUCUGUAGCUAAGGAUGAAGAAUGUCCGGGUCAUCUGGGAAUCAGUCACCUCCAGGGGUGAGAGCAGGAGAGCGGGGCGCAGGUUGGGGUGAACACGGACCGGCGCCUCGGAGCCUGUGCGGAGGAAGAGCCCGGACAGCCGGUCCUCCAGCCUCAGCCUCCCGCCGGGCACAUGACCAGUUAAGCGCCUCCUGCUCUGCCAGCCCCUGUCCACUGCGAGAAGAUGCUCCUUCUGCUGGAAGGGAUGGAGCCCAGCAGGAAGGCACCUGGCGGGGAGCCGCAAGGAGCCCGGACAGGUCACAUCCAUCCCGGUCAAGGCUGCGGCCCCCCGGCCCCCAGGGACACGCGCCGAGGCUCCCCGCGGCCGGCGCUGCUCACCCGCAGGGUCUGAAGGGCCAGGGCAGGAAGCGGGGUUGCAACAGCAGCCCAGGGCCUGGCUGGAGGGGCUGGGGUGGCCCUGCCCUCGCCUCCACCCCGUUGGAUCGCUCCCUUCCCACGGGGCGUCUCACCCGUGUCCGCCAGGCGGCCCGUGGGGAGCGCGGUGCUGCGCAGUCUCAGGGAGGGGAGGGCGUGGGAGGAGGACAGCUCCCGGCCCAGUGUCCUCCUCCAACUUGGAAAACGGGAACCUGCUGAUGUCCAUACUCUGCAAUCCACUCAGCUUCCGGUAGGCAUCUCUUAAUCACUUAAUUGAAAUAGUUGAUCUGCAGUGUUGUGCUAGUUUCUGGUGUACAGCAAAGUGAUAAACACAUAUAUAUACAUGCACACACAGAUUCAGUAUCUUGUGAUCACCUGUAAUGGAAAAGAAUCUGAUGCCUUAAAGGUUAUUAUAAGAUACUGUGUGUGUAUAUAUAUUCUUUUUUCUGAUUCUUUUCCAUUAUGGGUGAUGACAAGAUAUUGAAUACAGCUCCAGGUGCUGUACUGUAGGCUCUUGUUGGUUAUCUUUUUUAUGUACAGUAGUUUACUAAUCUCAAACUCCUAAUUCAUCCCUUCCUUCCCCCUUUGGAGACCAUAGGUCUGUUUUUCUGUGACUGUUAGUUCGUCAUAUUUUAGAUUCUACAUAUAAGUGAUGUCAUGUCUUUCACUUAGUAUGAGAAUCUCUAGGUCCAUCCACGUUGCUGCACAUGGCAUGAUUUCAUUCCUUUUUUAUGGCUUAGUAUUCCAUUGUGUACAUGUGCCACAGCUUCCACAUGCAUUCCUCUGUCAAUAGACAUUCAGGUUGUUGCCAGGUCUUGGCUGUAGUGACUAGUGCUGCUGUGAACACUGGGGUGCAUGUAUUUUUUGAAUGGUCGUUUUUUCUGGGUAUAUGCCCAGGAGUGGGAUUGCUGGAUCAUAUGGCAACUCUGUUUAGCUUUUCGAGAAACCUCCAUACUGUUCUCCAUAGUGGUUGUACCAAUUUACAUCCCAACAGGGUGGGGGAGGCCCCCUUUUCUCCACACCCUCUCCAGCAUUUGUUAUAGCUUAAUGAUGGCUAUUCUGACAGGUGGAAGGGGGUACCUUAUUGCUGUUUGGAUUUGCAUUUCUCUGAUAAUCAGGGAUGUUGAGCAUCUUUUUGUGUGCCUGUUGGCCAUCUGUACGUUUCUGGAGAAAUGUCUGCUUAGGUCUUUGGCCCGUUUUUUGAUUGGGUUGUUUGGAAUAUUGAGCUGCAGGAGCUAUUGGUCUAUUUUGGAGGUUAAUCCCAUGUCAGCCUCGUUGUUCACAACUCUUUUCUCCCAAACCAUAGGUUGUCUUUUUGUUUUGUUGUCGGUUUCCUUCGCUGUGCAAAAGCCUGUCAGUUUGAUUGGGUCCCAUUGGUUUAUGUUUGCUUUUAUUUCCAUUACCUUGGGAGACUGACCUAAGAAAACACAUGGUAUGAUUUACAUCAGAAAAUGUUGUGCCUGGGAUCUCAGAGAUAUAUGGCAUAGUGUCUUUAACCCGUUUUGCAAUUAUUUUUGUGCAUGGUGUGAGGGUGUGUUCUGGUUUCAUUGAUUUACGUGUAGCUGUCCAGGUUUCCCAACCCUGGUUGGGAAGAGACUGUCUUUUGCCCCUUUGAUGUUCUUGCCUCCUUUGUGGAAGAUUAAGGGGCCAUGGGUGUGUGCGUUUAUUUCUGGGCUGUUGUUUAAAGAUACAGCAAGACAGCAUUAGAAGUGAAGGAGCUCAGUGUGUGUGGGGGGACAGAGCCCUGUCCCCAAGGACGUCCACACCCUGACCCCCAGACCUUGCGACUCUGUGACGUCCACAGCAGAGGGGACUUGGCAGCUGUGGCCACAUGAAGGACCUUGGCUGGGGAGAUGGCCGGGAUUUUCCAGGUGGUCCAGCGUCAUCACAGAGGUUCCCAUAAGAGGCAGAGGACCGUUUGAUCGCGAGAUGCUGGGCUUUAGGCUCUGGGGAUGGAGGAGGGACCGCACGCUCAGGACUGCUGCCGCCUCCAGAAGCUGGGAGAGGCCGCAGAUUCUCCGCUGGAGCUGCUCCAGGAGGAACCAGCCCUGCGGGCAGCCUGACUUGAGCGCUUUGGCCUUUAAAACACGAAGACAGCACAUCUUCCUUUGAAGCUGCCCGGUCUGUGGUACUUCUUUAGAGGGACCACGAGAGGCUGCGGGAUCCAGGGCUGCGAGGGAGCGGACACCGCAGAAAAGGUAACUCCUUGGGAAGCUCUGAUGACCGGACAGAUGAGCAGAAGCCGAAAGCUCAGGGAGAAAGAUCUACUUUUCCACGAACCGCUUUUCACGAGCGUCCCUAGGAGCCUGCGAACUCUGUGAGGGCAGGACUUAAGGUGCUUUGGGUUCCCUUCCAAAGGGGAGCAUGCCCACCCCUGCCCAACCGGUCCACCUGGCUGGAGCCCCAUGAGAAGCUGCCUGCUGGGGGUGUUGCAGUGUCAGAGGUCAGGUUGCACCCCCACCUCCCCGUGCCCCAACAUCCAGCACCCCGGUUCUGGAACACGUGUGUGGACUCAGAUGCACUGAGGCUGAAUUUGCAGGAACAGAGUUUGGAGCUGGCUAGCAGGGACCAUCUGAGUCCGAAGGUUUUGGGACCCGCCCUCCUGCCUGUCCUCCAGAGCAGCCCGAAGCUGAACUGCUUCCUGCAUCUCUGCAGAGCAGGGAGGUACAGACGAUGCUGGCAGCUCUCCUUCUCCUCUCAUGCCCCUGGACAUCCUCUGUGGUCACCUGCAGGUCUCCUCCAGCCAGCCGGCUGGCUCGCGGUAAGAACCGCCAGAGCACUUGCGAACGUCCAGGCAGUGGCCUCGCCUUGCCAGGGGACUUCAGAUGCCAGCCUCCAGUACCAGGAGGGAGAAAUGCCUCUUGUUGAAGCCGCCCCGUCUGGGGUAUCUGCUUUUGGCAGCUGAGCGGACUCAUACUGGUCUAGACUCACAGUCUGUAACCUCUGGGAGGAGGUCCAGGAAUGGAACCAUCCGAGAUGGACUCUCUAAUAUUUUCUGGGAGGAAUCAAGGGACUCCAAUGCUGGAAGCAAGGCCCCUGGAGGACCUCAGGGUGGUGCUGACAGCCCUUUGUGACUCAGGGACUCACCGGUGUCCGCCCAGGCAGUUCCCCUUUCCGUCGGCCUCAGGGAACUGCUCAGGAGAUCUUCUCAUGAGAGGAAUCCCGACUGCUCCACAGACAGGUGCCAGCGUUCAGACCCUGAGGCUGCCUCUGGCUCCGCAAGUGUGGAUGUGCCCAGGCAGGUCUCAGGACGGAGCCUCGAGAAGCAGGAAAGGCCGUGUGGAUGGAGCCCCUGGGGACGGAGAGGAGGAGGAAGAUGGACUGGGUCGAGCAGAGGAGUCAUCUGAUUCACCGUACAGGACAGCGUCCAGCCUUCACGCCGGGACGUCCUCCAGGGACGCCGUCGGGAGUCACAGGCUUCAGGAAGAUUUGAGAUGGGACUGGCUUAGUUUCAGUGGCUACAUGAUGCUCUCAGACCGUGAUAUGAGCUUUGUCGUGUCAUGGGGCAGUUGUAUCCGAUGAUUUGUAUGUCGUGCCUCGUGUGCCGUCCGUCUGGUUUCGUGUCAUGUUCCCCACUCAGCCAUAAAAACGAAUGAAAUAACGUCAUUCACAGCAACAUGGAUGCAACUAGAGAUUCUCACACUAAGCGAAGUUAGAAAGACAAACACCAUAUGAUGUCACUUCUAUGGAAUCUAAAAUAUGUCACAGAUGAACCUGUCUGCAGAACAGAAACAGACUCCCAGACAUGGAGACCAGACUUGUGGUUGCUGAGGGGUCGGGCGGGGGAUGCAGUGGGGAGUUUGGGCUGAGUUGAUGCAAACUGUGACACUGAGAAUGGAUCAGCAGCGAGGGCCUGCUGUCUCGCACAGGGGACUCUGUGUCCAAUCACUUGUGGUGGAACAUGACGGAAGAUACUAUGCAGAAGUGUGUGUAUAGACGGAUGACGGCGUCACUUUCCUGUACAUCAGAAAUGGACAGAACAGUGUAAAUCCGUGAUAAUUUAAAAAUUAAAGAAAAAAAGAAAUUGACUGUGUCAGGAGACACGGACCAGGAGGUACUCCCUCUGCAGGAACCAUUCCCGGGCAUCUGUUUCCAUCGCUGAGCAAGAUUUACUCAGACACGUGCAUUCUGAGUUUAGUCCUAUCCCAUGAUUUUCUUUAGAAAGUGCACCAACUGCCCUGUGGAAAGUAAAUGCAGCUGCCUUUUCCUAGUGUGUCCUGC